CCUCCAUCUCUGCUUCGUCAUUAUUCUUUUCAGACUGAUGUGGAACGGACGGGUUUUGUUCACACAUUACACAAGUCUUACACAAUGUGUCAUGGGUCACCCCCCUGCUGUGCGCCCUGUUGAGCGCACCACGGCCCACACCAACGGGCGUUCCCUCUUCCCUGCGGGCGUCCCUCCGCAAGAGAUCUGCAAUCAACACACCUGCCUGUGAUGAGCCACCAGCCUUCAUAAGCCAGGGCGUCUUGAGAUCCGGUGCCAGAACGUAGCUUCUCCUACCAGUACAGUUCCUCGUCCUCCAGCUGUGGGUCUCGUCUACCCGGACCCUCCUUGGAUUCCCUCUUUCCUUCCAGGACUAAGACCUCGCUGCUGUCCUCGACCAUCCGCCUGCCCUCUGACGUCCGAGCCUGCUUUUCCCCUUUUGGACUUCUGUCUCGAUCUCAACACGCCCACUCAACACCCUCUGCUGACCACGCUCAGAUAAUACUCACACAUAGUCACACUACAUC
Long non-coding RNA from Nerophis ophidion (straightnose pipefish), 506 nucleotides. RefSeq lists it as uncharacterized. The transcript is spliced from 3 exons. Lineage: Eukaryota; Metazoa; Chordata; Actinopteri; Syngnathiformes; Syngnathidae. The record is from RefSeq and is a predicted model, not a curated record.